UACGGGGGGGGCAAGCGUUGUUCGGAAUUACUGGGCGUAAAGGGCUCGUAGGUGGCCAACUAAGUCGGACGUGAAAUCCCUCGGCUUAACCGGGGAACUGCGUCCGAUACUGGUUGGCUUGAAUCCGGGAGAGGGAUGUGGAAUUCCAGGUGUAGCGGUGAAAUGCGUAGAUAUCUGGAGGAACAUCGGUGGCGAAGGCGGCAUCCUGGACCGGUAUUGACGCUGAGGCGCGAAAGCCAGGGGAGCAAACGGG
RNAcentral lists this ribosomal RNA (253 nucleotides) under uncultured bacterium. RNAcentral describes it as "partial 16S ribosomal RNA". It matches the Rfam family "Bacterial small subunit ribosomal RNA", at positions 524 to 776 of the family's 1533-position model. The record is from RNAcentral.